Molecule: ribosomal RNA, 555 nt
Filed under: uncultured bacterium
Lineage: Bacteria
Description: bacterial SSU rRNA
Rfam family: Bacterial small subunit ribosomal RNA
Source: RNAcentral
UGGGGAAUCUUCCGCUAUGGACGAUAGUCUGACGUAGCAGCGCCGCGUGAAUGAUGACUUUCUUCGGGUUGUAAAGCUCUGUUAAUCGGGACGAAUGGUUCUUGUGCAAAUAGUGCGAGUUUUUGACGGUACCGGAAUAGAAAGCCACGGCGCUUUACGUGCCAGCAGCCGCGAUAAUACGUGGGUGGCAAGCGUUGUCCGGAAUUAUUGGGCGUAAAGCGCGCGCAGGCUGAUUGCUCGGUCUGUCUUAUCAGUUCGGGGCUUGACCCCGAGAUGGGAUGGAAACUGCCAAUCUAGAGUAUCGGAGAGGAAAGUGGAAUUCCUAGUGUAGCGGUGAAAUGCGACUUUCUUAGGAAGAACACCAGUGGCGAAGGCGACUUUCUGGACGAAAACUGACGCUGAGGCCGCGAAAGCUCNGGNAGCCGAANGGGAUUANAUACCUACGGUUGUCNUGGGCGCNGUUUUANNNNACUAGGUCGUGAGGAGGUCAUCGACCCCUUCUGUGCCGGAGUUAACGCAAUAAGUACCCCGCCUGGGAGUACGACCGCAAGGUUG